AUUCAAAUAGCUUAUGUAGAGUGUAACACUGAAGAUGUUAAGGAGGUCUAGGACCUUUGGAUA
Molecule: transfer RNA, 63 nt
Filed under: Gyrostigma rhinocerontis
Lineage: Eukaryota; Metazoa; Arthropoda; Insecta; Diptera; Oestridae
Description: tRNA-Phe
Source: RNAcentral